GGGGGAUUCAGUGUUUUAAUCUACCCAAACCCAAUGUGAACGUUACCAAACUGUUGCCUCGGCGGGGUCACGCCCCGGGUGCGUCGCAGCCCCGGAACCAGGCGCCCGCCGGAGGAACCAACCAAACUCUUUCUGUAGUCCCCUCGCGGACGUAUUUCUUACAGCUCUGAGCAAAAAUUCAAAAUGAAUCAAAACUUUCAACAACGGAUCUCUUGGUUCUGGCAUCGAUGAAGAACGCAGCGAAAUGCGAUAAGUAAUGUGAAUUGCAGAAUUCAUUGAAUCAUCGAAUCUUUGAACGCACAUUGCGCCCGCCAGUAUUCUGGCGGGCAUGCCUGUCCGAGCGUCAUUUCAACCCUCGAACCCCUCCGGGGGAUCGGCGUUGGGGAUCGGGACCCCUCACACGGGUGCCGGCCCCGAAAUACAGUGGCGGUCUCGCCGCAGCCUCUCCUGCGCAGUAGUUUGCACAACUCGCACCGGGAGCGCGGCGCGUCCACGUCCGUAAAACACCCAACUUUCUGAAAUGUUGACCUCGGAUCAGGUAGGAAUACCCGCUGAACUUAAGCAUAUCAAUAAGAGGGAGGAA
This 583-nucleotide ribosomal RNA is filed under the name Trichoderma sp. Hy5. RNAcentral describes it as "eukaryotic LSU rRNA". The stretch from base 193 to 346 matches the Rfam family "5.8S ribosomal RNA". Lineage: Eukaryota; Fungi; Ascomycota; Sordariomycetes; Hypocreales; Hypocreaceae. The record is from RNAcentral.